RNAcentral lists this ribosomal RNA (1535 nucleotides) under Streptococcus dysgalactiae subsp. equisimilis. RNAcentral describes it as "bacterial SSU rRNA". It matches the Rfam family "Bacterial small subunit ribosomal RNA". Lineage: Bacteria; Bacillati; Bacillota; Bacilli; Lactobacillales; Streptococcaceae. The record is from RNAcentral.
AGAGUUUGAUCCUGGCUCAGGACGAACGCUGGCGGCGUGCCUAAUACAUGCAAGUAGAACGCUGAGGACUGGUGCUUGCACCGGUCCAAGGAGUUGCGAACGGGUGAGUAACGCGUAGGUAACCUACCUCAUAGCGGGGGAUAACUAUUGGAAACGAUAGCUAAUACCGCAUAAAAGUGUUUAACCCAUGUUAAACAUUUAAAAGGUGCAACUGCAUCACUAUGAGAUGGACCUGCGUUGUAUUAGCUAGUUGGUGAGGUAACGGCUCACCAAGGCGACGAUACAUAGCCGACCUGAGAGGGUGAUCGGCCACACUGGGACUGAGACACGGCCCAGACUCCUACGGGAGGCAGCAGUAGGGAAUCUUCGGCAAUGGACGGAAGUCUGACCGAGCAACGCCGCGUGAGUGAAGAAGGUUUUCGGAUCGUAAAGCUCUGUUGUUAGAGAAGAAUGAUGGUGGGAGUGGAAAAUCCACCAUGUGACGGUAACUAACCAGAAAGGGACGGCUAACUACGUGCCAGCAGCCGCGGUAAUACGUAGGUCCCGAGCGUUGUCCGGAUUUAUUGGGCGUAAAGCGAGCGCAGGCGGUUCUUUAAGUCUGAAGUUAAGGCAGUGGCUCAACCAUUGUACGCUUUGGAAACUGGAGAACUUGAGUGCAGAAGGGGAGAGUGGAAUUCCAUGUGUAGCGGUGAAAUGCGUAGAUAUAUGGAGGAACACCGGUGGCGAAGCGGCUCUCUGGUCUGUAACUGACGCUGAGGCUCGAAAGCGUGGGGAGCAAACAGGAUUAGAUACCCUGGUAGUCCACGCCGUAAACGAUGAGUGCUAGGUGUUAGGCCCCUUUCCGGGGCUUAGUGCCGGAGCUAACGCAUUAAGCACUCCGCCUGGGGAGUACGACCGCAAGGUUGAAACUCAAAGGAAUUGACGGGGGCCCGCACAAGCGGUGGAGCAUGUGGUUAAUUCGAAGCAAACGCGAAGAACCUUACCAGGUCUUGACAUCCUCCUGACCGGUCUAGAGAUAGGCUUUCCCUUCGGGGCAGGAGUGACAGGUGGUGCAUGGUUGUCGUCAGCUCGUGUCGUGAGAUGUUGGGUUAAGUCCGCAACGAGCGCAACCCCUAUUGUUAGUUGCCAUCAUUAAGUUGGGCACUCUAGCGAGACUGCCGGUAAUAAACCGGAGGAAGGUGGGGAUGACGUCAAAUCAUCAUGCCCCUUAUGACCUGGGCUACACACGUGCUACAAUGGUUGGUACAACGAGUCGCAAGCCGGUGACGGCAAGCUAAUCUCUUAAAGCCAAUCUCAGUUCGGAUUGUAGGCUGCAACUCGCCUACAUGAAGUCGGAAUCGCUAGUAAUCGCGGAUCAGCACGCCGCGGUGAAUACGUUCCCGGGCCUUGUACACACCGCCCGUCACACCACGAGAGUUUGUAACACCCGAAGUCGGUGAGGUAACCUAUUAGGAGCCAGCCGCCUAAGGUGGGAUAGAUGAUUGGGGUGAAGUCGUAACAAGGUAGCCGUAUCGGAAGGUGCGGCUGGAUCACCU